CCAAAAUGGAAGCCACAUGUGGCAACAAUCCACACCUGGGAAGAAGAAGUUGGUGUCACGUGUGCCUAUACAGUUUAGAAAGUUUGACAGCAGCUUUACAAGGCGAUAAUGUGUGACACUUGGCUGGAGCUUGCCGAAGAGGAGUAGACUUGUGACACUGCAAACAGUUUGUUAAAUGUUCUUUGUCUCAUCAAAAACAUCCCAUGUUUGAAUGUGAGAGAGGGCUAGACAACACGUUCGUGUUGGAAAUGGCAGCAAGUAGUGUGGACGAAAAAGAGGAAAUGGAGAUUUUGGCGAAGCAACAGCUGUGCUGUAAUGUGAACAAUAUGGGUGUCAAUUCUGAUGAUAUGGAGCGGGAGGAUGUGGGUCAAAGACCUGAAUGGUCUGUAGUGGAAAAAUAUAGGAAGAAGAGAGAUCAUGAUACUGAAAGCAGUGGAGCAUCUAGUAAAGGAAGCAUAAAGAGGGCCAAGGACCUGAGCCCUAGGACCAUGCCUCAGGACUACCUAGCCUGAUGACUCCUUGCUGUCCCCAGUCCACCUGGUCGUGCUGCGCUCCAGUUUCAACUGUUCUGCCUGCGGCUAUGGAACCCUGACCUGUUCACCGGACGUGCUACCUGUCCCAGACCUACUGUUUUCAACUCUUUAGAGACAGCAGGAGCGGUAGAGAUACUCUGAAUGAUUGGCUAUGAAAAGCCAACUGACAUUUACUCCUGAGGUGCUGACCUGUUGCACCCUCUACAACCACUGUGAUUAUUAUUAUUUGACCCUGCUGGUCAUCAAUGAAUGUUUGAACAUCUUGGCCAUGUUAUGUUAUAAUCUCCACCUGGCUCAGCCAGAAGAGGACUGGCCACCCCUUAUAGCCUGGUUCCUCCCUAGGAUUCUUCCUAGGUUCUGGCCUUUCUUGUCAGGAGCGUCGUAAAAAGUGGACCAAGGUGCAGCGGGUAUCGUGCUCAUCUUCCUUUUUUAUUUGGAUAAACGUGAACACUUAACAAAAAUAACAAACGACGAAAAACAGUCCUGUAAGGCUACACAGCUAUACAUGGAACAACUACCCACAAACACAGUGACAAAAACCCCCUACUUAAAUAUGGCCUCCAAUUAGAAGCAACGAAGAACAGCUGCUUCCAAUUGAAGGCCAAACCAAACCUGAACAUAGAAAUAGACUAAAUAGACAUUCAAACAUAGAAAUAGACAACAUGCGUCUGGGCAAUACAGUGCGCAUUUCCGCAUAGCUCGGUGCUUUCUCGAUCUGUCGCUCCCCGUAAUAAGCACGGGGAGUUGGCUCAGGUCUACGACCUGACUUAGCCAUACUACCCGUGUGCCCCCCCCCCCAAAAAAACAUUUUUGGGGCUGCCUCUCGCACUUGCCAAUCUCUUCGUAUAACGCCUCGUAAUGGCGCCGCUCCGCCUUGGCUGCCUCCAGCUCCUCCUUAGGGCGCCGGUACUCCCCAGCCUGGUGCCAAGGUCCUUCCCCAUCCAGGAUCUCCUCCCAGGUCCAUGACUCCAUAUAGUUCCUCUGCUGCUCCUUCCCCCGCUGCUUGGUCCUUUCUUGGUGAGUAGUUCUGUCAGGAGCGUCGUAAAAAGUGGACCAAGGCGCAGCGGGUAUCGUGCUCAUCUUCCUUUUUUAUUUGGAUAAAUGUGAACACUUAACAAAAAUAACAGACGACGACGACGAAAAACAGUCCUGUAAGGCUACACAGCUAUACAUGGAACAACUACCCACAAACACAGUGACAAAAACCCCCUACUUAAAUAUGGCCUCCAAUUAGAAGCAACGAAGAACAACUGCUUCCAACUGAAGGCCAAACCAAACCUAAACAUAGAAAUAGACUAAAUAGACAUUCAAACAUAGAAAUAGACAACAUAGAACAUUACCCAAAAACCCAAGACACAUAAAUCAAACACACCCCUGCCACGUCCUGACCAUACGAUAAUAACAAAAUGACCCUUUACUGGUCAGGACGUGACAUUUCUAGGGAGUUUUUCCUAGCCACCGUGCUUCUUCACCCGCAUUGCUUGCUGUUUGGGGUUUUAGGCUGGGUUUCUGUACAGCACUUUGUGACAUCAGCUGAUGUAAGAAGGGCUUUAUAAAUACAUUUGAUUGAUUGAUUGAUUGAUUGAUUGAUUGAUUGAUUGAUUGAUUGACUGAUUGACUGAUUGACUGAUUGACUGAUUGAUUGAUUGAUUGAUUGAUUGAUAUAAUGACAACUUACACUGUCAUAAAUGCAAGGACAGAAAAGUAAUGUUUUAUGUGACACGAUUUUGGACAAAUCCAUGAAGACACCAAUAGGGCUGUGGCAGUCACAGAAUUUCCACACAUAGCCUACAACACACUGACGCAGGAACAUCUACAUUUUAAAAAGUCUAAUAAAUCCAUGUAAUAUAGCCCACACCUUCACAAUGAAUCCAUUAUUUAUUUUAGACAGGUCUAAAGAAACAUCUUUUAUCCAAACGAUUUGAGGGAGAGCACACAUGCAUCUAUUCUGUGUUGAGCGGUUAACAAAGAAAUAGGUACUCUGUAAGGGCAAUUUCUGUUAAACCUUACUGAUGCUUGUAUACUAGAAGAUCUUUCCUUAAGCUUAGUUGCUUAGGCAGUAAUUUUGAUAUUGUUAAAGAAGCUAGAUCAUAUAAGAUAAAUGUGUGUGCAUUAGUAUAGGCCUGUUUUAACUUGUCUUGUGUGUGUAGUUUAGGAACCUACCUAGGGAAGUAGGUCCCCAUUGUCUGAUCUGGGCCCACAGCCAAGAGCUGACCAGAGCGACCAAUGGUUUCCUGUUAGUCAGAAGAGAAUGAACUGAUUACUCUUAAUCUACUGAAAACAGAGCAAAGUGUUGUAUCCUGGGCACCAGUGAUAAAGAUGUUGUCCUGGUAUUAGCUUGUUGCUGGGUGAAAGAUUCAUGAUUGUGUGUGUGGGUGUGUGGGUGUGAAACCAUCUAUCAUCUGGGCAGACAGCAAAAGGCACUUGCUGGCUAAUUUAUGAGGACCUGUUGCUCUGACACCUAUUGUCCUUUGUCCUCACUAGAAGAUUAGAAUAACCAGCAGUUGCUACAGGACGAGACAACCAAAUUCUGUACCUUUUCUCCCAGUUUAGUCCUGUUUCUCCACACACAUACACAUACCAAGAUCAUGUGUUUUGUAUAUGUUUGCAUAAGACAGCCUGACUAUAUAAGGUUCCUGCAUUUCUAGUG
This 3183-nucleotide long non-coding RNA is filed under the name Salmo salar (Atlantic salmon). RNAcentral describes it as "lncRNA (ENSSSAG00000089901.1)". The record is from RNAcentral. Lineage: Eukaryota; Metazoa; Chordata; Actinopteri; Salmoniformes; Salmonidae.